This 292-nucleotide ribosomal RNA is filed under the name uncultured bacterium. Its description in RNAcentral is "partial 16S ribosomal RNA". It matches the Rfam family "Bacterial small subunit ribosomal RNA", at positions 505 to 796 of the family's 1533-position model. The record is from RNAcentral.
GUGCCAGCAGCCGCGGUAAUACAGAGGCCCCAAGCGUUACUGAGAAUCACUGGGUUUAAAGGGUGCGUAGGUGGCGCGUUAAGUCCGUUGUGAAAUCCCUGGGCUCAACCCAGGAACCGCUUCGGAUACUGGCGCGCUUGAGGCGAGUAGGGGUCACUGGAACUGACGGUGGAGCGGUGAAAUGCGUAGAUAUCGUCAGGAACGCCGAUGGUGAAGACAGGUGACUGGGCUCGAUCUGACACUGAGGCACGAAAGCGUGGGGAGCGAACGGGAUUAGAAACCCUCGUAGUCC